This 3123-nucleotide ribosomal RNA is filed under the name Streptomyces sp. MJP52. Its description in RNAcentral is "23S ribosomal RNA". It matches the Rfam family "Bacterial large subunit ribosomal RNA". The record is from RNAcentral. Lineage: Bacteria; Bacillati; Actinomycetota; Actinomycetes; Kitasatosporales; Streptomycetaceae.
GGCCAAGUUUUUAAGGGCGCACGGUGGAUGCCUUGGCACCAGGAACCGAUGAAGGACGUGGGAGGCCGCGAUAGUCCCCGGGGAGUCGUCAACCAGGCUUUGAUCCGGGGGUUUCCGAAUGGGGAAACCCGGCAGUCGUCAUGGGCUGUCACCCACUGCUGAACACAUAGGCAGUGUGGAGGGAACGAGGGGAAGUGAAACAUCUCAGUACCCUCAGGAAGAGAAAACAACCGUGAUUCCGGGAGUAGUGGCGAGCGAAACCGGAUGAGGCCAAACCUCAAGCGUGUGAGACCCGGCAGGGGUUGCGCUUGGGGGGUUGUGGGAUCUCUCUUCUGUCGUCUGCCGGCGACAGGACGAGUCAGAAACCGUUGAUGUAGGCGAAGGACAUGCGAAAGGUCCGGCGUAGAGGGUAAGACCCCCGUAGUCGAAACGUCAGCGGCUCGUUUGAGAGACACCCAAGUAGCACGGGGCCCGAGAAAUCCCGUGUGAAUCUGGCGGGACCACCCGCUAAGCCUAAAUAUUCCCUGGUGACCGAUAGCGGAUAGUACCGUGAGGGAAUGGUGAAAAGUACCGCGGGAGCGGAGUGAAAUAGUACCUGAAACCGUGUGCCUACAAGCCGUGGGAGCGUCGGAUGCAGCUUGCUGCAUCUCGUGACUGCGUGCCUUUUGAAGAAUGAGCCUGCGAGUUUGCGGUGUGUUGCGAGGUUAACCCGUGUGGGGAAGCCGUAGCGAAAGCGAGUCCGAACAGGGCGACUGAGUAGCACGCUCAAGACCCGAAGCGGAGUGAUCUAGCCAUGGGCAGGUUGAAGCGGAGGUAAGACUUCGUGGAGGACCGAACCCACCAGGGUUGAAAACCUGGGGGAUGACCUGUGGUUAGGGGUGAAAGGCCAAUCAAACUCCGUGAUAGCUGGUUCUCCCCGAAAUGCAUUUAGGUGCAGCGUCGUGUGUUUCUUGCCGGAGGUAGAGCACUGGAUAGGCGAUGGGCCCUACCGGGUUACUGACCUUAGCCAAACUCCGAAUGCCGGUAAGUGAGAGCGCGGCAGUGAGACUGUGGGGGAUAAGCUCCAUGGUCGAGAGGGAAACAGCCCAGAGCAUCGACUAAGGCCCCUAAGCGUACGCUAAGUGGGAAAGGAUGUGGAGUCGCACAGACAACCAGGAGGUUGGCUUAGAAGCAGCCACCCUUGAAAGAGUGCGUAAUAGCUCACUGGUCUAGUGAUUCCGCGCCGACAAUGUAGCGGGGCUCAAGCGGUACCGCCGAAGUCGUGUCAUUGCAGCAUUCAGGGCCAACGCCCGCUGUGAUGGGUAGGGGAGCGUCGUGUGCCGGGUGAAGCAGCCGCGGAAGCGAGUUGUGGACGGUUCACGAGUGAGAAUGCAGGCAUGAGUAGCGAUACAAACGUGAGAAACGUUUGCGCCGAUUGACCAAGGGUUCCUGGGUCAAGCUGAUCUGCCCAGGGUAAGUCGGGACCUAAGGCGAGGCCGACAGGCGUAGUCGAUGGAUAACCGGUUGAUAUUCCGGUACCCGCUUUGAAGCGCCAAACAUCGAAUCCAGUGAUGCUAAGCCCGUGAAGCCGCCCCUGAUCUCUUCGGAGUGAGGGGGAGUGGUGGAGCCGGUGACCCGAGCUGGUAGUAGGUGAGUGAUGGGGUGACGCAGGAAGGUAGUCCAUCCCGGGCGGUGGUUGUCCCGGGGUAAGGGUGUAGGCCGUGCGGUAGGUAAAUCCGUCGCACAUCAAGGCUGAGACCUGAUGCCGAGCCGAUUGUGGUGAAGUGGAUGAUCCUAUGCUGUCGAGAAAAGCCUCUAGCGAGUUUCAUGGCGGCCCGUACCCCAAACCGACUCAGGUGGUCAGGUAGAGAAUACCGAGGCGUUCGGGUGAACUAUGGUUAAGGAACUCGGCAAAAUGCCCCCGUAACUUCGGGAGAAGGGGGGCCAUUUCCGGUGACGGGCUUCGCGCCCCGAGCUGGGGGUGGCCGCAGAGACCAGCGAGAAGCGACUGUUUACUAAAAACACAGGUCCGUGCGAAGCCGUAAGGCGAUGUAUACGGACUGACGCCUGCCCGGUGCUGGAACGUUAAGGGGACCGGUUAGCUGGCUUUCGGGCCGGCGAAGCUGAGAACUUAAGCGCCAGUAAACGGCGGUGGUAACUAUAACCAUCCUAAGGUAGCGAAAUUCCUUGUCGGGUAAGUUCCGACCUGCACGAAUGGCGUAACGACUUCUCGACUGUCUCAACCAUAGGCCCGGUGAAAUUGCACUACGAGUAAAGAUGCUCGUUUCGCGCAGCAGGACGGAAAGACCCCGGGACCUUUACUACAGUUUGAUAUUGGUGUUCGGUUCGGCUUGUGUAGGAUAGCUGGGAGACUGUGAAGCCCGCACGCCAGUGUGGGUGGAGUCGUCGUUGAAAUACCAGUCUGGUCGUGCUGGAUGUCUAACCUGGGUCCGUGAUCCGGAUCAGGGACAGUGUCUGAUGGGUAGUUUAACUGGGGCGGUUGCCUCCUAAAGAGUAACGGAGGCGCCCAAAGGUUCCCUCAGCCUGGUUGGCAAUCAGGUGUUGAGUGUAAGUGCACAAGGGAGCUUGACUGUGAGACCGACGGGUCGAGCAGGGACGAAAGUCGGGACUAGUGAUCCGGCGGUGGCUUGUGGAAGCGCCGUCGCUCAACGGAUAAAAGGUACCCCGGGGAUAACAGGCUGAUCUUCCCCAAGAGUCCAUAUCGACGGGAUGGUUUGGCACCUCGAUGUCGGCUCGUCGCAUCCUGGGGCUGGAGUCGGUCCCAAGGGUUGGGCUGUUCGCCCAUUAAAGCGGUACGCGAGCUGGGUUUAGAACGUCGUGAGACAGUUCGGUCCCUAUCCGCUGUGCGCGUAGGAGUCUUGAGAAGGGCUGUCCCUAGUACGAGAGGACCGGGACGGACGAACCUCUGGUGUGCCAGUUGUCCUGCCAAGGGCAUGGCUGGUUGGCUACGUUCGGGAGGGAUAACCGCUGAAAGCAUCUAAGCGGGAAGCCUGCUUCGAGAUGAGGACUCCCACCCACUUGAUGGGGUAAGGCUCCCAGUAGACGACUGGGUUGAUAGGCCAGAUCUGGAAGCCCGGCAACGGGUGGAGGUGACUGGUACUAAUAGGCCGAGGGCUUGUCCUC